UCUCCCCCCCUCUCUCUCUCUCUCCAUGAAAAAAAAAAAAAAAAAAAAAAAAAACAGGAGCAGAUAAACGAAAACAAAAUCCUCAAACCUCACCAAAAUCAAAAUCAAACAAGCCAUGGAACCCGCUUUGUCGACUCAAACGUCAACGAAUCUCCCGAGAUCACCCAGCACACUCCAUACCAAACAACAAUAACAACAAUGAUCACGGCUGGCAAAAGGUCACUUACGUCAAGCGCCAGCGCAAGGCCGCUAAACCUAACGCCGAUCCGUCCGCCGUUACCGCUCGUACUAACGGCUCCGGUUAAUGGAGAUAAGAGUAGUGUGUUCGUAACCUCGAGCAGCAAGCCGAGGAACGACGUCGUCGAUGGUCAGCGCUCAGCAGGCGAACGUCGCUGUUGUUCACGCUCCUCAAGUGAGAUCGAAACACCGAUCUGACGACGAGGACGAAAGCGAGAGUGACGCGGAGGCUGCCGAAAACGGCAAGGCCGAGGAGGUUAAGAAGGUGAAGCAAAAGAAGCCGAAGAAGCCGAAGAUUCUGUGGCGGAAGCUGCGGCCAAGAUUGACUCGGCCGAUCUCGCGCAUUUCUUGUUGAUAUAUCGGGCACGUAUGGAUCCCAGCAAGAGAUACAAAGAUGAGGUUUGCUGAUUAUUUCGGGAGGGCAUUUUCGGCGGUCAGUGGUCUCAGUUCCCUUGGAUGAAGCUUUUCAAAGAGAACACCGUGGCGAAGAUGCUGAUAUCCCCAUUUCUCACAUUUCGGAUGCUGUUUAUAAGACAUCAAUUGACUGGAUCAACCAACGAUCCCCUGAAGCACUUUCGUCCUUUGUAUUAUGGUCUUUGGAUAGCAUUCUUGUUGACCUGGAUGCCUAUCA
Pistacia vera is the source of this 868-nucleotide long non-coding RNA. RefSeq lists it as uncharacterized. NCBI's taxonomy places the organism in Eukaryota, Viridiplantae, Streptophyta, Magnoliopsida, Sapindales, Anacardiaceae. The transcript is spliced from 3 exons. The record is from RefSeq and is a predicted model, not a curated record.